Molecule: ribosomal RNA, 311 nt
Filed under: uncultured bacterium
Lineage: Bacteria
Description: bacterial SSU rRNA
Rfam family: Bacterial small subunit ribosomal RNA
Source: RNAcentral
GAUGAACGCUGGCGGCGUGCUUAACACAUGCAAGUCGAACGAGCGAGAGAGAGCUUGCUUUCUCAAGCGAGUGGCGAACGGGUGAGUAACGCGUGAGGAACCUGCCUCAAAGAGGGGGACAACAGUUGGAAACGACUGCUAAUACCGCAUAUGCCAUGAACAUCACAUGAUGAAAAUGGGAAAAGAGUAAUCUGCUAGUAGAUGGGCUCGCGUCUGAUUAGAUAGUUGGUGGGGUAACGGCCUACCAAGGCGACGAUGCAUAGCCGACCUGAGAGGGCGAACGGCCACAUUGGGACUGAGACACGGCCCAA